Molecule: long non-coding RNA, 8522 nt
Filed under: Gossypium barbadense (sea-island cotton)
Lineage: Eukaryota; Viridiplantae; Streptophyta; Magnoliopsida; Malvales; Malvaceae
Description: long non-coding RNA (GBAR_LNC007598)
Source: RNAcentral
CUUCCAACCUUUAUGAGCUUCCGAGCACUAUAAAACAGAGGAAAAUAAAUAGAGUAAGCAUAUAAUGCUUAGUAAGUUUGUAUAAUUAGAAAUUUAACUCACCAUUCAUUUCCAUUAAAAUAAACAUGCAAAAUGCAUCAAAUAAGUUUGGAUAAUAGCCUAAACACCCAACUUCAUCAAACAAGUUUGGCUAAUAGCCUAAACACCCAACUUCAUCAAACAUGUUAGUCAUUAUAAUUCACACAAUUGCCAAGAAACAUGAAUGAGCUCAUCAUGUAAUAACUUUCAUACAUAUAUACUUUUCUUAUCAUAUUUCCAUAUAACAUAUACAUUUCUAUCAUAAAUCAUCUUAAGUUCAGUUUAUCCAUGUCAGAACUUUGCCCGUUGAAUUUAUUUGGAACAUUAAUAGAUACUCAUGUAGUACACUUAAAGUGUACAAAACUGUAAUCCGUCAAUUCAUAUUCAGGGGUACUCAUUAGAGCACAUAAUCAGGAAACACUCUCUCAAGUUAUAUAACAGGAAGCUUGUGUGAGCCAUGUAACAUGAAGCUUAUCCGGGCUUAAUAACAGGAAACUCAUAAGAGUUUAAAACAAAAAGUUCAUGUGAACUUAACAGGAUAACUCCGAAGAGUUAUUAUCAAGAAGCUCCGGAGAGCCAUAUAACAAGAACUUCAACCGAGCCAAAUUAGGAAGCUCACAAAGAGCCUAUAUCGGGACGCUUAUAAAGAGCUGCAGUAUGUCUGCAAUACAUGUAUGAUCAAUACCGAUCAUAUAACAGGACACUCACAAAGAGCUAUGGUAUAUCGCAACACAUGCAAGAUCAAUACCGAUCGGGAUGCUCGUAAGAACCAUAUAAUGGAAAGCUCGAGAGAGCUUAUAACAGGAUGCUCUUUCGAGCUAUGGUGUGUCCGCAACAUAUGAGGACUACAACCAAUACAAGAAACUUGUAUCCUUCGAUUUUCAUUUGUUCAAAUGGAACUUAGCAUUUAUCAGGCAUUUUCGGAUAUUUAACUACUUUCACAUAUACGAAAAUUAUACAAUUUUAUGUAUAUAACAUAUAAUUUAAACAUAUAAAUACACACAACUUAGUUACACGAACUUACCUCGACAUUUGUUUGUAUACGAGAAUCUACUAAUCCGAUACUUUUUGGUUUUCUUGAUCUAACUCCGUACUAGGUAUAAGAGAGUGUUACCACUACGUGUCUUACGACCCAACUUAGAAACUUGAAUAGCUUGCCAUCCCCUACAUGUCUAAUGGCCACAGCUCGCCAUUCAUCGGUUCGCUUGAUGGUCACGACUCGCCACUCCCUUACAACUUGCCACCUUCCCUAGAUUGCCAAUUCACCAUGUAGUUGAUCCGUUGUUCAUCAUUUCCUUGUUUGUUGGUUGGCCAGUUCGCCACUUUCCAACCUCACCUCCCAGCUUGCCUACUCGCAAAGAGGCCCCUUCAGAGAUACCUCUGAGGUUAUGUGUCAAACCUAGAGGGGUAAUGUGUUGGUGUGCAUGGCACCUAAUUAUCCUUUAACACGUCUCAUCAAGAAACUGUAUUACAAAAAUAUUUUUUUUAUUUCUAAUUUACACUGUGUGUUGAAUUAUGUAUUUAUGUAAAAAAGGAGAUAAAUUUAAAUAAUAUGUAAAUAUUAAAAUUUAGAUUUUUAAAAAUUACUACUACGUUAACCCAAUAUGUAAACAUUGAUGGUUAAAUUUUUUUUUCAAUGUUUUUUGAACAACAACAUAGGGUGAUCGGAAAUAUGUUAUUGUUGUUCUUGGCAGUGAUGUUACUUGCACUUUCCUUAGCCCUUGAUGUGCUGCUACCAUUUUUUGUUGAAUAUAUACUUCCGUGAUUUUGAUGCUUUUACGUUUUUAUUUCUAAUUUGGUUCUUUUUUUUAACUAUAUAAUAGUUUUUCAGUGUUUUUUUCCGAAUAAUAUGAAAAAGAAUUUUUUAUCAUAAAAAUAUAAAAAGUUUUUUGGUUAUUGAAAUAAUAUGGACUAUGCAUAGGAACCCCAAAUUAGCAUGAUGAAUAACAAUUUGGGAUUACUACGAGAUAAUAGUUGUGUCAGACAGAGGCAUAGAAUCCUUAUAAUUUCAAAUUGGCAGCCGACAUGCUGAUCUGGAUUCCUGAUGGCUUGUCAUGUUAGAAAUUUAAGUUUUUUUAAAAAAUAUUUUUAAAACUAUUUUCUAUUUUUAUUUUAAAAAGUUUAUUUUUUAUAAUUUUAUUUCUAAAAACUUGUUUUUUUAAAUGUUAUUUUUAAAAUUUUAUUUUAUUUUUACUUAAAAUAGGAAGAAUUAAUUUUUAAAACUUAUUAAAAAUUUUAUAACUUUUAAAGGGUGAAGACCAAAUUGACAAAAAAUGUAAAUGUUGAAGGCUAAAAAAAUUAUUUUACCUUUGAAAUAAUUAACUUUAAUGGUAGAAAAAGAUGGAAGAAUCAAGAUUUUUAAAUAAAAAAAAGUAUAAGGACUCAAUAUCUUAAAAUUAAAAGUAUAAUAACUAAACUUUAAAUUUCAAAAGAGUGUAAGGACCUUUGAUAUAUUUAAGCCUAUAAAUUGUACACAGUAAAUGAUGCAUGAAAUUACAAAUCUAAAUAAUGAAACAACGUAUUGAGUAACUUAAGAUGGAUUAAAAUGGGAUAUAAAUGUUUAGAAAAGAAUUCUUACACUAAAAAGCAUGUAGUGAGUCCUUAGUGCGUACAGUUGGUAUAGGUGUUAUGAAUAGAUAUUAGAGGCUAGGAAAUAGAAGUACAACAAUUCCAUAUAGAAUUCAAGCUUUAAAUUAUUAUUUGCACCAUUUGGGAGUCUAAACUCAUUUAUUUUUUUUUAUAUAAAAUAGAUAUUAUUAUUUGCACUUACAAUGAAUAUUUUUGAUAUAUACAUAUACAUAUAAAGUUUUAGUCGAAAUGGGAGAUAUUAUUAAUUUGGAUUAAAAUUUAUGCAAAAUGGAGUUCAAAUGUUAAAUUACUAUUUGCAUUACGUGGGAGUCUAAGCUCAUUUAAUUUUUUUCGUCCAAAAUAAAUAUUAUUUGUACAAUUUUUUUGUCAAUUUGGUAUUUACCCUUUAAAAGUAUAUAUUUUUUAAUAAUUUUUAAAAAUUAAUUUUUCAUAUUUUAAAUAAAAUUCUAAAAUUUUAAAAAUUAUAUAUUUAAAAAAAAUUAUUUUUAAUAAAAAAGUUGGUCUGCUACCCUAGCACGAAAACGUCUGCCUAUUGGCAUGCAUUUUAGGUUUUUAUUUUUUUAGCAUAAUUUGUCCUUGCCGGCGGGUCACUUUCAAACAACUUUUUCCAUAGUAAAGCACGGGUACAAUCAGGAUCAGGUCUCCGUCCUACAAACAUGGAGAUGGAAUUAGCAGAUUAACACUAGAUGAAGAAGAAGAAGCAGUUCUUCAAGUACAAACAGAGCAGCGCACACAGGGAGAAGAGGGGAUUUUCAGGUUAGUGGGUUGUUUCUUAAUAGCAAGUGUUUUCAUUAUCCUGCAAUGAAAAGUACUAUGGCAAAUUUAUGGCAUCCGGUUCAGGUUGUCCAGAUUCGGGAUCUGGGAGAUAGAAGAUUCUUGUUCCAAUUUUUUCAUGUUAUGGAUUUGGAGAGAGUAUUAAAUGGAUCACCAUGGACAUUUAAUAAUCACUUACUGCUGCUAUACAAAUUACAACUGGGGGAGGAUCCAUUAAGAGUUUUUUUUUUGCUUUUUUUGUAGUCGUUUGGGUCAUAGUGAUGCUUUUUGUGAAGCAAAAAUGGAAGCAGGUAUGGAAGUUGCUGAUAUGGGGUGGAACUUAUCGUUGAGAGCUCAAUCUAGAAGGGCUUUAGCAAUGAAAAGUAUAUGGCUGCGAGAAGACAAUGAUGAUAAUUUUGGAGUUAAUAGUGCAGACAGACGCAUUCAAAGGAACGACAAAUGGGCUGCGAAACACACGCAAGGAUUUUGGUGACCUAUUGACCCAAUACUGGGACUAAGCCUGAAAGGAAAACCGGCUUAUGUGGGGCAAGAGAGAGUUAAAUCGACGAUUAAUCCAGCUCCUGCUGAUAUGGAGCAUGAUCAGGAAGAUGGAAUUUUAAUUGGGGAGGAAGGGCAAAAGAGAGCUAGAGGGGAGAAUGAGGAUGAGAUCAAUAAUUCAAUGAACAGAAAUAGACGAGUAUUGGAAGGUAAUUAUUUAUUAUCGGUGGCUGCCAAGAGGCAUGCCGACCGGGCGCAAUGAAAAUCUUGAGUUGGAAUGUCCGUGGAUUAGGAAGUCCACGGGCGAUUCGCAGACUUCGGCAUUCACUGAAGAUACAUAAUCCCCAAGUGGUUUUCUUUAUGGAAACUAAGGUGUGUAAAAAUAACAUGGAAAGAAUUUGUCAUAGAUGUGGUUAUAUGAAUGGGAUUGAAGUUGAUCCAAUUAAUACUAGAGGUGGUCUAUGUUUAGCAUGGAGGAAUGAUAUUUGCAUUGAGCUUAGGAGUUUUUCUAAGAGACACAUUGAUGUGGUGGUUGAGGAUAAGGAGGUAAAGGGAAAAUGGAGACUCACUGGAUUCUAUGGAUCUCCCUAUGCUCAAGACAUGAGUGAAUCUUGGAAUGUGUUGAGGAAUUUACACAAUGAUGAUGGGAGGCCUUGGUUCGUUUGUGGAGACUUUAAUGAGAUAAUGUACAGCCAUAAAAAAAAAGGAGGGCUACCUUGUGAUGAACGAAAAAUGGAGAAUUUUCGUAUUGUUUUAGUGGAUUGUGAACUUUUGGAUGUGGGCUUUUCUGGGAAUUGGUUUACGUGGGAAAGAGGAAAUCUGCCCUAAACAAAUAUUCGGGAAUGACUUGAUCGUGGAGUUGUUAAUGAUGUAUGGAUGAGUUUGUUUCCGGAGGUCAUUAUUCAACAUAUGCCUCACUCUUUUUCGGAUCAUUGUCCUCUCUUAAUUACUACUAGGAGGGUUGAAAAGGGGAUAAAUACUAAAGCAUUCAAGUUUGAAGCAUGGUGGAUAAUGGAAGAGUCUUUUAAUAAAGUCAAAAAUUUAUGGGAGUCAUCUUCUAGAAGCCUAUUACAAAAGCUAGAUAUCUUAAAAAAAGUCGAACUCAAUUUGAUAGAAGGAGAAAGGAUAUGCUCACAGUUAGACUAUCAGAACUUGCAGGGGAUGAGAGAGAUGAUAUUAACAUGGCAGAAUUGAUUGAUUGUAAAAUUCAAUUGAACUUUGAGAUUGAGAAGGAUGAACGUUACUGGGAACAGUGAGCUCGGAUAAAUUGGUUGAAAUUUGGGGAUAAGAAUACUGUAUUUUUUCAUAACCAAGCGACGCAGCGUAAAAGAAAAAACGUCAUACACAAACUUAACGAUAAAGGAGGAGGAACAACGGAGAUUAUAAAAGAAAUGGAGGGAAUUGCGCGAUCUUAUUUUCAAAAUUUAUCUUCAACAGAUGGACGAGAAAAUCUUGACCAUUUGUUAUCAAGUAUUGAGAAAUGCAUAUCUGAGGAGGAAAACGAAGAUCUUUUGAGGCCUUAUACGGCAGAGGAGUUUAGAGAGGCGCUUUUUACAAUGGGUCCUACCAAAACACCAGGUGAACAUGGCUUCCCGGCACUAUUUUACCAAAAUUGCUGGCACAUCAUUAGGGAGGACGUCACCAAAUUCUGUUUACAAAUUCUAAAUGAAGGUAUGGAUUUUCAACAAAUUAAUGCGACUCAAAUAAAUUUUAUCCCUAAAAUUGAUAAUCAUACUACUAUGAUGGAUUUCCGUCCUAUCAGUCUGUGCAAUGUGCUUUAUAAAAUUACAGCAAAAACGAUUGCAAAUAGGCAUAGAGGAGUUAUCAAAAAAUGCAUUGAUAGGGCCUAAAGUACGUUUGUACCAGGCAGAUUGAACUCAGACAAUAUUCUACUUGCAUAUGAAAUUCUUCAUACUCUUAAACAAAAGAGAAAUGGGAAAAAAGGUCUUAUGGCAGUCAAGUUGGACAUAAGUAAAGCAUAUGACAGGGUUGAGUGGAAUUUUAUAAAAAAAAUGAUGGCACGAAUGGGGUUUGAUAUGAGAGUGAUCAGAAUUUUGAUGAAAUGUUUGACAACGGUCUCCUACUCAGUAGUUGUAAACGAAUACAUAGGAGAAAGCUUUCAACCAACAAGGGGACUUCGUCAGGUAGAUCCACUUAGCCCGUUUCUUUUUCUCAUUUCUGGGGAAGGGCUGUCAUGUUUAAUGAGAUUAGUAUGCAGGGAAGGACUAGUGAAAAGCGCUAAAGCUAGUAGGAACGGACCACAGGUAUCACAUUUACUGUUUGCUGAUGAUUGUAUCUUAUUUGGUCAAGCAACAAGUAGAGAAGCUAAUUUUUUAAAGGAAAUUUUGGGGGAAUAUAGGAGAUGCUCGGGCCAAUGUGUUAACUUUAAUAAGUCCACUGUCUUUUCUAGCAGUAAUACAAAUGAUGAAGAUAAACGAGAGGUGGUAAACAUUUUGGGGGUGCGUAGUUCAGAAAAUCCGGAGAGGUAUUUGGGGUUACCCAACACAGUUGGAAGAAGGAAAAAAUAAUCUUUUCAGGGCCUAAAAGAUAGAUUUAAGAAACGUAUUGACAAUUGGAGCACCAGGUUUUUGUCUCAGGGCGGGAAAGAAGUGUUUAUUAAAUCAGUCCUUCAAUAUACCAACUUACUUUAUGUCGUGUUUCUUAUUACCCAAGUCUUUAUGUUCAGAAAUGGAAAGCAUUAUAGCUCAAUUUUGGUGGCAAAAGGGGAAUGGAAAACGAGGAAUACAUUAGUGUGCAUGGAAAAAUCUUUGCAUUUUAAAAGAAAAUGGGGGUCUUGGUUUUCGAAACACGAGUCAGUUCAAUAUCGCAUUAUUAGCCAAAUGGGGGUGGCGCCUUAUUAAUUACCUGAAUUCAUUAGUGGCUAGAGUGUUCAAGGCUAAAUACUAUCCAAAUACAGACUUUAACAGCACUCAGUUAGGGAAUAUACCUUUUCUUACCUGGAAGAGUGUGUAGGCUGCUAAGGGAUUGUUAAAUAAUGGACUGUGUUGGAGGGUUGGAAAGGGUGACGGGAUCUCGAUCUGGGAGGAACGUUGGCUACCAGGCAAGGAACCUGAAGAGUGGAAUAGUAGAAACAGAAGUGAAGAGUACAAGUUAGUUUCAGAAUUAAUUGAUCCAAAUACCAGAAUGUGGAAGACAGAUAUUAUCAUGCAAAUCAUGCAAAUUCCUCUUGCGAAAAUUCCUCAUAACGACAUUCAAAUGUGGAAGGGAGAAUCGACCGGAGAAUUCACUGUCAGAAGCGCCUACAAACUAUUACAAGAAGCUAGCAUGGAUCCUAGUUAUUAUUAUUUACAGGCCGACUCAAAGAAUUUGUACAAAAAACUUUGGAAUCUAAGACUACCCUAAAAAAUACUGAUUGCAAUUUAGAGAAUUACAUGGAACUAUAUCCCGAAUUUUGUAAAUCUAAAACAUAAGCGAGUGAUCAAUAGUGCUUUAUUCCCUCGUUGCGGGAAUGGAGAAGAAGACAGUGGGCAUGUCUUUUUGAAUUGCCCUGUUACAGUAGUGAUUUGGAGGAAGUUAGAGGUCUCAUGGGUAGACAGAAUAGUUCAAAAUAUCUGGGAAUGGAUCACCUGGAUCUUUCAAAAUACUGCUAUUCAACAGUGUCGCUUGCUCUGCUGUGGCUUGUGGAUUAUAUGGAGUUCACGAAAUAAGCUUGUACACGAAAGGAAGUUAGAGUCAGAAGAUGAGAUUUUACAGAAUAUUCGAAGAUAUAUGGCUGAGAUUGAAGGAUUAGAAGAAAAGAAACUCACCUCUCCAACGGGGUAUAGAAGCAACACUAUAGAUGUAAACACCAGGGCAACGAUUCAGUUUGACGCUGCACUCGAUAACAGAAACCACAGAUCAGCAUCGGGAUUAGUGGUUUGGCGUCAGACGGGGGAACUCCUUGCAUUUAAGUCAAUGAUCAACUGGAAGGUUUCAUCUCCGUUUGUUGCAGAGGCGUAUGCAGGCUUACAGGCUGUUCAAUUAGGGAUCUCGCUAAAACUUCCCUCAGUAACGGUUAUGGGAUAUUCUCAAACAGUUAUCAAAAAAUGCCAGUCAAAGAACUCGGAUAAAUCAAUCAUCGGUACAAUAAUCAGAGACAUUUAUAGCAGUAUGAACAGGUUUCAAGAAAUAAAAUUCCAGUUUAUUAAAAGAACAGAGAAUGCCUAUGCUCACAACCUGGCAAAGGAGUCUUUGAGAAAGAAUGAGGAAACGUACCAGAGAAGGCCGGAUCUGACUCAACACCAUUCCCAACCGGAGAGAAAAUAGAGGAACAACCCAGAUUGAGAUUUGUUUGGGGUUAAUGAAAUAAAACAGAUAGCUGAAAAUGGUAUAUGGAUAAACUAUUGACAAGCAUAGAGAAGACAGUGAUGUGGAAGGAAAUGGAGUACAGUUGUGUCUUGGGAAUCGGCUAGUUUAAUUUCAACAAGCUUCCUUUUUAUUUGUUUUUCAAUUAAUAGGCAGGUUUUAUUAGAAUUAUUUUAAUUAUUUUUGAAACUAAUGGCUAAAGAAAUAGGCCAAUUAUGGGAUAGGAAGUCUAGAGUGUCAUAGGCCUGAACCAUUAUUAUUAGGUUUUGUAUUUGACUUCUUUAUUUAUUUAAGUCUAG